The sequence is a regulatory RNA element, 144 nucleotides long. It matches the Rfam family "Glycine riboswitch aptamer". Rfam says of the family: This family represents the bacterial glycine riboswitch. The record is from Rfam.
AAGAUGGAUUCGGGAGAGACUGCCCAUAAUGUAUGGAAGAUAAAGAAUACACGGGAUACAGCGUAUCAGUGUAUAAUCAGCAUACAGAAGGCAGCGCCGAAGGGGAAGCGGAAAACUCUCAGGCAAAAGGACCGGAUACCGGAC